Molecule: ribosomal RNA, 451 nt
Filed under: uncultured bacterium
Lineage: Bacteria
Description: partial 16S ribosomal RNA
Rfam family: Bacterial small subunit ribosomal RNA
Source: RNAcentral
AACGAACGCUGGCGGCAGGCCUAACACAUGCAAGUCGAGCGAUCGCAGCAAUGCGGGAGCGGCAGACGGGUGAGUAACACGUGGGAACGUACCCUUCGGUUCGGAAUAACUCAGGGAAACUUGAGCUAAUACCGGAUACGUCCGAGAGGAGAAAGAUUUAUCGCCGAAGGAUCGGCCCGCGUCUGAUUAGCUAGUUGGUGAGGUAACGGCGCACCAAGGCGACGAUCAGUAGCUGGUCUGAGAGGAUGAUCAGCCACACUGGGACUGAGACACGGCCCAGACUCCUACGGGAGGCAGCAGUGGGGAAUAUUGGACAAUGGGCGCAAGCCUGAUCCAGCCAUGCCGCGUGAGUGAUGAAGGCCUUAGGGUUGUAAAGCUCUUUUACCCGGGAAGAUAAUGACGGUACCGGGAGAAUAAGCCCCGGCUAACUUCGUGCCAGCCGCCGCCGUAA